UACGGAGGGGGCUAGCGUUGUUCGGCAUUACUGGGCGUAAAGCGCACGUGGGCGGAUUGUUAAGUCGGGGGUGAAAUCCCGGGGCUCAACCCCGGAAUGGCCUCCGAUACUGGCAAUCUUGAGGUCGGGAGAGGUGAGUGGAAUGGCGAGUAUAGAGGUGAAAUUCGUAGAUAUUCGCCGGAACACCAGUGGCGAAGGCGGCUCACUGGCCCGAUACUGACGCUGAGGUGCGACAGCGUGGGGAGCAAACAGG
This 253-nucleotide ribosomal RNA is filed under the name uncultured bacterium. Its description in RNAcentral is "partial 16S ribosomal RNA". It matches the Rfam family "Bacterial small subunit ribosomal RNA", at positions 524 to 776 of the family's 1533-position model. The record is from RNAcentral.